UGGCUCAGAACGAACGCUGGCGGCAUGCCUAACACAUGCAAGUCGAACGCGUGGAGCGAUCCACGAGUGGCGCACGGGUGAGUAACGCGUGGGAACCUGCCCUGGAGUGGGGGAUAACCCGGCGAAAGCCGGGCUAAUACCGCAUACGUCCUGAGGGAGAAAGAUUUAUCGCUCUAGGAGGGGCCCGCGUCGGAUUAGCUAGUUGGUGAGGUAACGGCUCACCAAGGCGACGAUCCGUAGCUGGUCUGAGAGGAUGAUCAGCCACACUGGGACUGAGGCACGGCCCAGGAUCCUACGGGAGGCAGC
This 306-nucleotide ribosomal RNA is filed under the name uncultured Alphaproteobacteria bacterium. RNAcentral's name for it is "bacterial SSU rRNA". It matches the Rfam family "Bacterial small subunit ribosomal RNA", at positions 20 to 352 of the family's 1533-position model. The record is from RNAcentral. Lineage: Bacteria; Pseudomonadati; Pseudomonadota; Alphaproteobacteria.